UACGGGGGGAGCAAGCGUUGUUCGGAUUUACUGGGCGUAAAGGGCGCGUAGGCGGUCAGCACAAGUCAGUUGUGAAAUCUCCGGGCUUAACUCGGAAAGGUCAACUGAUACUGUGCGACUAGAGUGCAGAAGGGGCAACUGGAAUUCUCGGUGUAGCGGUGAAAUGCGUAGAUAUCGGGAAGAACACCAAAGGCGAAAGCACUCUGCUGGGCCGAAACUGACACUGAUAGACGAAAGCUAGGGGAGCAAAUGGG
This 254-nucleotide ribosomal RNA is filed under the name uncultured bacterium. RNAcentral's name for it is "partial 16S ribosomal RNA". It matches the Rfam family "Bacterial small subunit ribosomal RNA", at positions 524 to 776 of the family's 1533-position model. The record is from RNAcentral.